GUAGUCCCAGUUCUGCCCCCUCCAUGCUGAGUGACCUUGGGUUGCUCCCUUUCCCUCUUUGAGCCGCAGAGUUCUCCAUCUGGAAUACAGGUAGCACUUGUUGCCCAGGCAGUACCGCCACAGGCCCUGGUGGGCGAAGGACCCUGACAGCCGGUACUGCAUCCAGUGGUCUGU
Homo sapiens (human) is the source of this 174-nucleotide long non-coding RNA. RefSeq annotates it as LIM2 and SIGLEC10 antisense RNA 1. Lineage: Eukaryota; Metazoa; Chordata; Mammalia; Primates; Hominidae. The record is from RefSeq and is a predicted model, not a curated record. The transcript has 2 exons.